RNAcentral lists this ribosomal RNA (464 nucleotides) under uncultured Sulfurovum sp. Its description in RNAcentral is "bacterial SSU rRNA". It matches the Rfam family "Bacterial small subunit ribosomal RNA", at positions 29 to 508 of the family's 1533-position model. Lineage: Bacteria; Pseudomonadati; Campylobacterota; Epsilonproteobacteria; Campylobacterales; Sulfurovaceae. The record is from RNAcentral.
AGUGAACGCUGGCGGCGUGCUUAACACAUGCAAGUCGAACGCAUGAAGCUCUAGCUUGCUAGAGUGGAUUAGUGGCGCACGGGUGAGUAAUGUAUAGCUAAUGUGCCCCUUAGAGGGGGAUAACAGUUGGAAACGACUGCUAAUACCCCAUACUCCUUCUUCCUAUAAGGGAAGUUGGGAAAGUUUUUUCGCUAAGGGAUCGGGCUAUAUGGUAUCAGCUUGUUGGUGAGGUAAUGGCUCACCAAGGCUAUGACGCCUAUCUGGUCUGAGAGGAUGAUCAGACACACUGGAACUGAGACACGGUCCAGACUCCUACGGGAGGCAGCAGUGGGGAAUAUUACACAAUGGAGGAAACUCUGAUGUAGCAACGCCGCGUGGAGGAUGACACAUUUCGGUGCGUAAACUCCUUUUAUAUGGGAAGAUAAUGACGGUACCAUAUGAAUAAGCACCGGCUAACUCCGUGC